Bubalus bubalis (water buffalo) is the source of this 2639-nucleotide long non-coding RNA. RefSeq lists it as uncharacterized. The transcript has 2 exons. The record is from RefSeq and is a predicted model, not a curated record. NCBI's taxonomy places the organism in Eukaryota, Metazoa, Chordata, Mammalia, Artiodactyla, Bovidae.
UACUGAAGUGGGUUGCCAUCCUUCUGCCAUCCAGGGGAUCUUCCCAACCCAGGGAUCAAAUCUGGGUCUCCUGCAUUGUAGGCAGACACUUUACUGUCUGAGCCACCAGGGAAGCUCUUAUAAGACCAUGCUGACAAAAAUGUGUUCAAGGAACAUUUUGAAGCAAAAUAAGAAAAUACAGCUAGUUUAUUUAGAUAGUCAUAUAAAGUCACGUUUCUGUCAUUUUCCUCUUGAUUUCAUUUCAGUGUAAUAACAGACUUCUCUUUUCUCACAUAGACAGCAUAUGAUAAUUAAUACGUGCACAUAUUCUUGCCCUUUGUAUUAAAAUUAUAUGUCUGAGUAUGCAAAUGUGACCCUUUUCUCAAAAAGUCAUUUAAAAUGAAUCCAGAUCCUAACAGUUCUUAGCUGUUUCUUCUAAUAUAGCUGUUUUUCUUUCAGGGCACAUUACAAAAAUGUACUUUGUGUAAAUGUUAAAAAUGUAAAUAUCAUAAAAAGCUAAAAGGGAGUAGCUUAGGAAAAGUAGCCUAGAAUUAUCUCUAAUACUUUUUUCCCAUUAAAAAAAUAAGUAGGAAAGAUUAAUCUACACUUAAGUAAUUAUAGUUAUGUGUGUGUGUGCUCAAUCGCUCAGUUGUGUAGAACUCUUUGUGACCCCAUGGACUGUAGCCCACUAGACUCCUCUCCUCUGUCCAUGGAAAUUUUCAGGCAAGAAUCCUGGAGUGGGUUGCCAUUUCUACUCCAGGGUGUCUUUCCAACCCAGGGAUUGAACCUGGGUCUCCUGUGUUUCCUGCAUUUACAGGCAGAUUCUUUACCAUUGAGUCACCUGGGAAGCCAGUUAUAGUCAAUUACAAAAGUUAAUAACCUAACAUUUAUAGAAUUAUAAAUGAACACAUUUAUGAAACAUAAAAAAAUCAAUAUUUGAAUAUUUUCCCUAGUAAUCAACAUUAAUAAAGACCAAAGACAAGUCAGGCUGAAGCUGUUAUUGUCAGAGUUUCUGAGGGAAGGAACUUACCAGGAGGCGGGACCUUUAACAGCCCCAGUUCUGGCUGGGAGCCCUGCUCUUGAGAGCCAUACUCGGUUGCUACCUUUGUGUCUCCAAAUCCAUCUUCAGAGUCUUUUUACCUCUUCCUUUUAAGUCACAGCAGAGAGUCUGGCUUUGUAUUUGGUUUACUUUUUUAAAGUAGUAUUUGUCUUUCUUCCUCUCCUUCCUCCCUAACAUCAACUACAGGAUCACAUGGAGCUAAUUUGUUUUACUGUCACGGGAGUCCUUUUUCUGGACCAGAUGGGCCUGAUUAAAACCAGGCCAGUUAAAAGGUCAACUUGGUAGGCAAGUGCAUACACUCCAUGACUCAAGGGGUUCAGGAGGGAUGAGGAGGGAUGAUUGGUGUGUGCUCAGUCAUGUCUGACUCUUUUGCAACCCCAUAGACUGUAGAAGACCCUCCCAGGGUCUUCUCUCCAUGGGCUUUCCCAGGUAAGAAUACUAGAGUGGGUUGCCAUUUCCUCCUCCAGGGGAUCUUUCUGACCCAAGGACUGAACCUGUGUCUCCAGAGUGCAGGUGGAUUCUUUACCAUUAAGCCACCUGGGAAGCCCACGAGGUGGGAUUAUUAAAGCAAGAUGAUGAGGGGAAGAGUCUGUCUUGUGGGCCCCUUUCCUCUGAGGGACCGAGCCUGUAGGUGACGUUGUUCCGGGACAGUCAGGCUAUCAGCAGCACCAACUGUCUGUACCCUCUUUUCCUUCCUUCCUAAAGGUCCAGAUUAUUUGUGUCAGCCUCUUUGGGUUCACAAGGCCGUAUCCCGUUAUGGGAAAAAAAGCCCAAGACCCAACUCUAGAGUAAGUUUGGGCUCUCAGCUGUGUCACAUAGAACAUCAGGAAAUUUAUUAAGUCAUUUAAUUUUUCCCAACUCAAUUUCUGGAUGUUAAAAAUGAAGGAAGAUGACAGCAAGAACGGCACCGCAGCUGGGCGUCUCCAGAGCAGACAGGUGCUGGAUAUAAGAUGCCUCCGAUUGUCCUGUGAAGUGUAGACAGUGCUCCAGAUGACAGGCCCCGCUUGAUCUGCCAGAGGACAGAGCUGCUCAGUCUGUUGACGCCUGGUUCAGAGUCCCCCAGCUUGCUCAAACAGCUGCCAGAGGCAGCCAUGAAAUAUUGCUUAAUUAUAGAAUUUCCCUUGAUCCUCUUUAUCCCUUCUCCCGCUCCCCGUACCCGGCUUUGUGCCCCUCCCUGGUUCACAGCACCUUUAGGCUGAGCACUCAGGGGAGUAUUAGGAUGGUGCCUUUUCCAGCUCACAGUUAAGGGACUGACAAGAGGUUCAACUACACUCUAGCUGUGGGCUUAUUCUUGGAGGCUGUAAUUAGCAGUGUUAAGUUCGAAUAUGGAAUGCAAUGUUAUUUUUUUCAGCAGGAAGCAAGUUUACUUGGAGCAGGGCAGAGGAGGAUAGCUUUUCUCAUUCUUUCUCUCCUUUUUUUUUUUUUUUUUUUCUGAUUAGAAAGUAAUGGUUAUUGUACAAAGCGGAGAAAGUAUCAAGAAAUCUAAAGAUAUGACUAAAGCCUACUUUCCUCUUAUUCAUAUGUUUGGAUAUUAACCAAAAUAGUAUUAUGUUCACUUAGUAUUAUGUUCACUUAGCAUUAUGUUCACUUUCUAUUUUAA